This is a long non-coding RNA of Peromyscus leucopus (white-footed mouse), 3685 nucleotides long. RefSeq lists it as uncharacterized. The transcript has 3 exons. The record is from RefSeq and is a predicted model, not a curated record. Lineage: Eukaryota; Metazoa; Chordata; Mammalia; Rodentia; Cricetidae.
CUCUUCACUAGGAGGCAGUUGAUUCUGGAGGAGCAGAGCUGGCCCCACAUAAAGGCGUCAAACUGAAAAGCACCACCGUGAAAACAGUAGUGAAAGGCCAGGUGUCUCCCGUUACAAGAGGGGCACCACGCUUGCCGCAUUUUUGUAACUGGGGUGAGUUGGACUCUUUCUUGAAGAAGGAAGACAUUGUAGAAAUGCACCCUCAGCCCUGAGAUGUCACCAGCCAUUUCUACUGGCCAGUCUUCCAGCAGCUUAUCAAUUUUACCUCCUCCCAAUAGAAGAGACAAGCUCCCAUCUACCUGGAAGGCCAAUCCAUACUCCGUGUGCCUCCAGUGACUGGAGUAACACAGCACAAAAGCCACUCCAGUCUGAAGACCUAUUCAGUCUCAACUCAAAGGACUGUCUCAGGGAGGACCGUGCUCCCAGGAUUUCAUUGCUUCCUACAAUAUCUGUUUUCAGUGGCUAGUUCCUAUUUUUCUCCAAAGCCAGCCACCUGCUACCCAGUUAUGAAUAGCUCAACAAGUCACCCAUGAGAAUUCCUUUCUGACCAUAUUUAAGCACAAUGAACUGAAAGCAAGUUAAGGCAUGCCUGGAUUCCAUUAUUUCCAGAGGCAAAUGGGCGCGGUUCUUGAUGACGCUUUUCCAGGAAGUCUUCACGUCUAGGUGACAACAGUAACAGUAGAAGGCCAUAUUCCAAGAGAGCAGUGGGAUGUUGGCAUUCUGUUGGUAAGAAGGGCCCCCAAAGUCGAUGGUUUGCAGUGAGGAGUAGAUCAAAACCUGAGCCCGGAUCCGAGGAAGAUCUGCCUGGUUCACAAAUGUUUGACAAACCACAGUGGCUGCAUUCCCUCCUACGCUGUCACCGCAGACCACUACCCGAGCUGGGUCCACUCCAUACACAUGCAAUGAUUUCAGAAACUGGGUGGUGGCUGCCACGCAGUCCUCUUUCAUUACUGGGUACUUGUACUGGGGAGACUUUCGGUAUCUAAAGAGGAAUGAAGGACCAUAGAUUAUGCUCAAUGCUUACUCAAACCCAAAGAACCCUUGUCUAACGUCUUAUAUCUCAAAUCCCUUUUUGAAGCCUGAAUAGGAGGAGAUAGGCAAGGACCCAAACACAUAGUAGACAUAAAGCCUUCUUGCUUGCCAUUUAGCUCAGAGGAAGCAAUUGCCAUCCACUGAGAAUGGAUGGGAUGUUGUUUAGAUGUUUCAGUGGCACUGUAGGCUUUAGGCAGAGGAGAUGUUACCUGUCUGCACGGACAGGGCUGUUAGACCUAAGGAAUUCUUCCAAACAAAAUCAAAGUGCCACCCUCAUUCCCAUCAGCUCCAAAAGACAGGGUUAAAUGAUGCCUUUAUCCACAAAUAUUUCAUGCACUAAGGAAGGGGGUCUAGUCCACUAUCCCUCUCUCCUCCAUUCCUUGCUUCUCCUUAGUGGGUUCUCACAGCCCAGCCCUCCCCCAUUCUCCUCACCAAAUCCAUCUGCUUCAGGUUCAACCUUCAGACCCCAUCACUACAAAUCAGGGCUAUCUGCCUAUGUGCUCCCAUUGUCCCCUUCCUUACCCGACUGCCACAACAACAGAGUCACAGUCCUUGGACAAACGUAAGCAUAUGCUAUGGUGGGUUCCUAGAAAACAAAAUCAAACAUCACAUUUACUAGGACAUUUUCCUUCAGCCUUCAUGGCCAUUCUCCUAUUGUAAAUAGAGUGCCCGAGUUAGCUGAGAAGGUCAUAAAGUAGCUUCUGACUGUUGAGUAAAUAUCCUUCCAACUUCUUACUGUUUUGCUUCUGUGAGCUACAAGGACAAUGUUCUCCAAGAUGCCCAUGACCUGAUGUACUCUACCACUUAUCAAAAACAUCCAAAAGUGAAUCGAUUGCAGUGGCUCAGUGUGUGAUAGUGGUAUUCUCAUAUCAAUUUAAGAACAGGCCAGACCAUUGCAUAAUAUGCCACCAAAGUGAUCUGUGCCUACUCAUGGCCCUGGGCUUUCUUGGUCAUAACAGUAGACUGUCUACCAGGGAGAAUGACCAUCCUUAUUUUAAGACUUACUUUAUUUUUACUUGUGUGUAUGUGUUGUGCACACAUGUGUGAAGGUGUCCAUGGACACCAGAAGAAGGAGCUAGAUCACUUGGAGCUAGAGUUACAGGCUAGAGUUGUAUGAUGCCCCAGAUGAGUACUAGGAACUAAACUUGGGUCCUCUGGAAGAGCAGAAAGUGUUCUUAACUACAGAGCCAUCUCUCCAAUUACCACAAAAUGACCAUUCUUUCAAGCCCAUUUAUCAGGGUGACAGGGGGCUUGAAGAAGCCAGAAGAAAGGCUUUCUUACUCAAGCUCCCCAGGAUGGUUCCACCACCAUGGAAGAAGAUGAUGCCAGGCCUAAGGGUAGAGGAGGAUUCCUUGGGCUGAUAUAGUUUCACAGGGAUUGUCCCAAAGCGAAGAUCUGUGACCACAACAUCAGGAUCUCUCUUGAGUGGCUUCAGAUCAUGCACAAAACUGGCAAACUGGGGUGCAUAACACAGUCCCAGCUUCUCAAAAAUCAUCCCCUGUCAGAGAGAGAAGAGGCAAUGGGUUGAGAAGGAUUAUGAAUCAGUCAUUUUACAUGCAGCCUGAAGCCUGUCAGACACGUUACCCUCCCCAGGUGCCAAGAAGAAGCUUGGGAAAUAUUGAUCAGACUCGACCACAGACCUCCUGCAUUUCCUCCCUCUCUGAACAUGCUCAUGAGGCACCUGCAGUUAAAUCCACACCUACCUAGGCCAUGUGGCUCCAUCACCAGACCCACUCCUCCCAAUCAUACUCUUCCUAGACACUUAACAUGCCAAACAUGACAAACCAGGCUUCUGGCCAACCCUUUUGAAGACACCUGCUCUACCUGGCAUAUGGACAUGGUCUUCUCUCCAGGGAAGACACCCUGAGUCUCCCAAAUAUUGAUUGCUAUGGAGGUGAUGUUUUUGAAGAGGGAAAGAGGGGUGUUUUCUUAUUUUUCUAUGGCAUCUACUGAAAUAUUUUUCGAAAAUAUGUGAUGUGAAAGGUGUUUCUUUUUAGGAAAAUUAAGAAUGAAGGGGGAAGUCAGAAGGUGUACGUGUUUGACUGGGGUCAGCGAUAUCAAUGUUGAUUGUUGCAAAUGAGGCUUCUUCAGGUUAUUGUGUUAUCUUUGAGAUCUAGCUAAAGGUUUUAAAAAUAAAUAUAAAUGUUAAUAAACAACAACAUCCUUCUAUAUCCAUAGCCUCACUCAGCCAUCAUCAGAGAUGCUUCCUCCUGCAGGAGAUGGGAAUGAAUACAGAGACCCACAACUGGGAAAUGUGCAGAAAGCAAGAGACCUUGGAUGGGAUGUCUCCAUCAAAACCCUCCCCUGAGGGCUCAGGAGGAAGGGGAGACAGAAAGACUGUAACAGCCAGUGGGGAUAGUCAUAUCUUCCAGGCAGAACAGGACCAGCGUACAUACAAACUCACAUAGACUGUGCACAGCAGCAUGCACAAGGCCUACACAUAUCCGUGCUAGAUAGGGUCCCGGUGCUCAGAGGGGAAAUAAACACAAGCCCCAUCCCUAACCAAGACACCAUCUACAAUUGACAACCACUCCAAAAGGAAAAAUGAGUUGUCUCCAUUGGAGUCUCAAUGGGUAUACAAGCCACACUUUAGGGCAGUUCCACACCCAGAAGUGGAUGGGCAACACAAAAUAAACUCAAUGAUGUUUUUGGA